Molecule: ribosomal RNA, 363 nt
Filed under: Candidatus Magasanikiibacteriota bacterium
Lineage: Bacteria; Candidatus Magasanikiibacteriota
Description: bacterial LSU rRNA
Rfam family: Bacterial large subunit ribosomal RNA
Source: RNAcentral
CGCAUCCUGGGGGUGGAGAAGCUCCCAAGGGUUAGGCUGUUCGCCUAUUAAAGCGGUACGCGAGCUGGGUUCAGAACGUCGGGUGACAGUUCGGUCUCCUAUCUACUGUGGUCGUUGAAUAUUGAAGGAGCUCAUCCCUAGUACGAGAGGACCGGGAUGAACGAACCUCUGGUGUACCGGUUGUCCUGCCAAGGGCAUCGCCGGGUAGCUAGGUUCGGCAUAGAUAAGCGCUGAAAGCAUCUAAGCGCGAAGCUAUUCCUAAGAUUAAUAUUCGUUAUCAGAUUCCUUCGAGACGAGGAGGUUGAUAGGCACUAGGUGAAAUACUCGCAAGAGUUUGAGCCGAAGUGUACUAAUAAAUCGAGC